CUUGGUCAUUUAGAGAAGUAAAAGUCGUAACAAGGUUUCCGUAGGUGAACCUGCGGAAGGAUCAUUAUCGAGUUGCUUGUGCUUAGGGGGUUUGAUGCUGGCCUCCUGGGGGGGGCAUGUGCACACCUCUAGGCAAACUCAUCCACACACACCUGUGAACCUGUUGUGGGGACGCUCUUAGGGGUGACUUCCCAUGUUUUAUAUUGCACACGUGUUUGUUAUCAGUAUGUCCUGUAGAGUGUUGAAGGGGGGGGUGUGGUUCACCUUCUCUUGAAAUGCACCAUGUAGUACAACUUUCAACAACGGAUCUCUUGGCUCUCGCAUCGAUGAAGAACGCAGCGAAAUGCGAUAAGUAAUGUGAAUUGCAGAUUUUCAGUGAAUCAUCGAAUCUUUGAACGCACCUUGCGCUCCUUGGUAUUCCGAGGAGCAUGCCUGUUUGAGUGUCAUUGAAUUCUCAACUCCGAGUAGACUUGUCUUGUCUAUCUGGAGCUUGGAUUUUGGAGUCUGCUGGCCUGGCUUGUCAUAGGUCGGCUCCUUCUAAAAGCAUCAGCAGAGAGAAAUGGUGUCUUUAGGGCCUUUGCUGACUUUUCAGUGUGAUAAGUGUGUUGCGCUGUUGUCUGGCAUGGCAUGUUGGGGGGCACCAUCUGCUUACAAUCUGUCUUUGGAGUGACCUUUUUUGAAACU
This 684-nucleotide ribosomal RNA is filed under the name uncultured Atheliales. Its description in RNAcentral is "eukaryotic LSU rRNA". The stretch from base 292 to 446 matches the Rfam family "5.8S ribosomal RNA". Lineage: Eukaryota; Fungi; Basidiomycota; Agaricomycetes; Atheliales. The record is from RNAcentral.